UGGUUUUCCGUGCUGCCUUUAAGCGCUCAGUAAACACAACUCUGCCCGAGUCGGGUGUCGAACCUCGAGCCCCCUUCUAGGUAGCCAAGAUUACGGAUGAGUGAAUCUAUUAAUCUUUAUUAUGAAAAGUUGUUAUACCGACUGUGUCAAGUUUAAAUAUAUGAAAUAGUAGCACGGAUGCCAAUGAAUCUGGAACUUGAUGUUCUUGGGCACGUUUCCUAUUGUUAACUCUUUUUCUCCGUAAUUAUUUACCACAUUCUGGUGGAAUCAACGUUGGUAUCGUCAGUUAGGAGAGAAAGAGUUAAGUUCUCUAUGACCACCAUAUCAAUCACUUGGGGCACUCCUUAAAGUUAGGGGGGUGGUCGAAUGGAAGAAAAAAAAGAGGGGGGGGGGAACAACAAAGACCUUGUUUUCCAAUGUUUAUUAUGUUGCUAAUUAUGAACUAUGUAGUCCAGAAAAGUGUCAGAAAUUCAAAAUGCUAAUUAAUAGCGACAGUGUCUUUCGUACCAUUGUUUUGGGGGGAAGGAAAAAGUUUAUUUUUAAAAAUUUAUCGUUUAAAAAGAGCUGUCAAAGAUUUUGAAUAAAUCCGAAGUAUGUUUUGAAAAACAACCAAGCUAACAGUUUACAGAAAAACAAGAUGAAAAAUAAAUGUAUUCCUACUGAAUGUUCAGAUAGGAUGUAAGCUAAAUACUCAGAUUUUAUUUGUCCUGGAAAAUAAAGAGAACAAAAAUAUAUUGGGAUCAAACUCACGACAUUGGGUCUUCAAAAGCCAAGCGCUUAACCACUCAGCCACCGCGCUCCAUUUUGUUCGCAACCUAAAAAAGCUCUAUUUAAAAACAAUGAUAAAGUACAUUUAGAGGGAGGGGACAUCAAACGUACCACGUCACGUGCUCUGUUUUGUCACAUAAAUUAGACAUGGGCGUAUCUAUUCGAUGGCAACCAAGACUCUGCAAAUACCGCAGAGUCGAACUGUAAAUAGAUUGUAGAAGAUUUAUUAUGUUUCGAGUUGAUAACAUUUUCUGACAUUCAGGAAGUUAAUUUAAAAUAUGCAUUGAAUAAGACUGUCGAAUGCUUUCCUUGUGACAUUGUUAUCCUGUUUCUAUAUUAAUCUAUAUCGUAUGUUUAGUGAGCUCAUUAAUAUGAAUAAAGGAAAUACCUGCAUCCUUAUGUGUUCGGCUUAAGAUAACUACAAACUUUAAUUUAGUUGUUACGUAAGAUUAUUGGAUUUCUAGGCAGACUGAGCAUGAGAAGAUGUCAGCGCCAACAAGAAAAUUGAAAGCUGACGGCCUUCCUUCUGAUAUAACCGAAAUAAGACUUAAAACAUUUUUUAGCAACGAGAAUAGCCAAGGUGGUGGACCAGUAGAAGAUGUUCAAAUCUCUGAAGACAGAACUAGUGCGAUUAUAACAUUCAAAGAAGUAGAAGCUGUUGACCGCAUAAUAAAAAGACGAGAGACAGUGAGUAUGUCCAGUGUUUUUGUCAAAGUCAGUCCUUAUUUUGACGAGAUACCACAUGACUGCAAUGACAAUCUGGCAGAUGAAAUAAAAGCUAUCAAAAG
This is a long non-coding RNA of Biomphalaria glabrata, 1556 nucleotides long. RefSeq lists it as uncharacterized. The record is from RefSeq and is a predicted model, not a curated record. Lineage: Eukaryota; Metazoa; Mollusca; Gastropoda; Planorbidae. The transcript is spliced from 3 exons.